CGGGACACGUGGUAUCCUGUCUGAAUAUGGGGGGACCAUCCUCCAAGGCUAAAUACUCCUGACUGACCGAUAGUGAACCAGUACCGUGAGGGAAAGGCGAAAAGAACCCCGGCGAGGGGAGUGAAAAAGAACCUGAAACCGUGUACGUACAAGCAGUGGGAGCCUCUUUAUGGGGUGACUGCGUACCUUUUGUAUAAUGGGUCAGCGACUUAUAUUCUGUAGCAAGGUUAACCGAAUAGGGGAGCCGAAGGGAAACCGAGUCUUAACUGGGCGUUAAGUUGCAGGGUAUAGACCCGAAACCCGGUGAUCUAGCCAUGGGCAGGUUGAAGGUUGGGUAACACUAACUGGAGGACCGAACCGACUAAUGUUGAAAAAUUAGCGGAUGACUUGUGGCUGGGGGUGAAAGGCCAAUCAAACCGGGAGAUAGCUGGUUCUCCCCGAAAGCUAUUUAGGUAGCGCCUCGUGAAUUCAUCUCCGGGGGUAGAGCACUGUUUCGGCAAGGGGGUCAUCCCGACUUACCAACCCGAUGCAAACUGCGAAUACCGGAGAAUGUUAUCACGGGAGACACACGGCGGGUGCUAACGUCCGUCGUGAAGAGGGAAACAACCCAGACCGCCAGCUAAGGUCCCAAAGUCAUGGUUAAGUGGGAAACGAUGUGGGAAGGCCCAGACAGCCAGGAUGUUGGCUUAGAAGCAGCCAUCAUUUAAAGAAAGCGUAAUAGCUCACUGGUCGAGUCGGCCUGCGCGGAAGAUGUAACGGGGCUAAACCAUGCACCGAAGCUGCGGCAGCGACGCUUAUGCGUUGUUGGGUAGGGGAGCGUUCUGUAAGCCUGCGAAGGUGUGCUGUGAGGCAUGCUGGAGGUAUCAGAAGUGCGAAUGCUGACAUAAGUAACGAUAAAGCGGGUGAAAAGCCCGCUCGCCGGAAGACCAAGGGUUCCUGUCCAACGUUAAUCGGGGCAGGGUGAGUCGACCCCUAAGGCGAGGCCGAAAGGCGUAGUCGAUGGGAAACAGGUUAAUAUUCCUGUACUUGGUGUUACUGCGAAGGGGGGACGGAGAAGGCUAUGUUGGCCGGGCGACGGUUGUCCCGGUUUAAGCGUGUAGGCUGGUUUUCCAGGCAAAUCCGGAAAAUCAAGGCUGAGGCGUGAUGACGAGGCACUACGGUGCUGAAGCAACAAAUGCCCUGCUUCCAGGAAAAGCCUCUAAGCAUCAGGUAACAUCAAAUCGUACCCCAAACCGACACAGGUGGUCAGGUAGAGAAUACCAAGGCGCUUGAGAGAACUCGGGUGAAGGAACUAGGCAAAAUGGUGCCGUAACUUCGGGAGAAGGCACGCUGAUA
Molecule: ribosomal RNA, 1335 nt
Filed under: Escherichia coli
Lineage: Bacteria; Pseudomonadati; Pseudomonadota; Gammaproteobacteria; Enterobacterales; Enterobacteriaceae
Description: partial 23S ribosomal RNA
Rfam family: Bacterial large subunit ribosomal RNA
Source: RNAcentral